AAAUUGAAGAGUUUGAUCAUGGCUCAGAUUGAACGCUGGCGGCAGGCCUAACACAUGCAAGUCGAACGGUAACAGGAAUCAGCUUGCUGAUUCGCUGACGAGUGGCGGACGGGUGAGUAAUGUCUGGGAAACUGCCUGAUGGAGGGGGAUAACUACUGGAAACGGUAGCUAAUACCGCAUAACGUCGCAAGACCAAAGAGGGGGACCUUCGGGCCUCUUGCCAUCGGAUGUGCCCAGAUGGGAUUAGCUAGUAGGUGGGGUAACGGCUCACCUAGGCGACGAUCCCUAGCUGGUCUGAGAGGAUGA
RNAcentral lists this ribosomal RNA (306 nucleotides) under Escherichia coli. Its description in RNAcentral is "partial 16S ribosomal RNA". It matches the Rfam family "Bacterial small subunit ribosomal RNA", at positions 1 to 303 of the family's 1533-position model. Lineage: Bacteria; Pseudomonadati; Pseudomonadota; Gammaproteobacteria; Enterobacterales; Enterobacteriaceae. The record is from RNAcentral.